This 283-nucleotide ribosomal RNA is filed under the name Phascolarctobacterium faecium. RNAcentral's name for it is "partial 16S ribosomal RNA". It matches the Rfam family "Bacterial small subunit ribosomal RNA", at positions 493 to 776 of the family's 1533-position model. Lineage: Bacteria; Bacillati; Bacillota; Negativicutes; Acidaminococcales; Acidaminococcaceae. The record is from RNAcentral.
UCUUUUCCUUUUUUGCCCGCCGCCGCGGUAAUACGUAGGUGGCGAGCGUUGUCCGGAAUUAUUGGGCGUAAAGAGCCUGUAGGCGGCUUAAUAAGUCGAGCGUGAAAAUGCGGGGCUCAACCCCGUAUGGCGCUGGAAACUGUUAGGCUUGAGUGCAGGAGAGGAAAGGGGAAUUCCCAGUGUAGCGGUGAAAUGCGUAGAUAUUGGGAGGAACACCAGUGGCGAAGGCGCCUUUCUGGACUGUGUCUGACGCUGAGAUGCGAAAGCCAGGGUAGCGAACGGG